Non-coding RNA from Gossypium hirsutum (cotton), 123 nucleotides. NCBI's taxonomy places the organism in Eukaryota, Viridiplantae, Streptophyta, Magnoliopsida, Malvales, Malvaceae. The record is from Rfam.
AAUAGAAGGAUGACAAAUUAAAUUUUUCCUCCUGAUUUUCAGUUUUUUUCUCCUAAAAAAAUUUAAAUCCAACUAAAAAUACAAAAAGUUGAGAAUAAAAAUUUAAUUUGUCAUUCUCUCAUU